UAAAUUGCCCAAUCUGACACAGGGAGGUAGUGACAAGAAAUAACAAUACAGGGCAUUAAUGUCUUGUACUUGGAAUGAGUUAAAUUUAAACCCCUUAACGAGUAACAAUUGGAGGGCAAGUCUGGUGCCAGCAGCCGCGGUAAUUCCAGCUCCAAUAGCGUAUAUUAAAGUUGUUGCAGUUAAAAAGCUCGUAGUCGAAGUUGUGUGCGUCGGAAUGGUGUGGCGAUUGUCAUGUCAAACCGUCGUAUAUUUCUCAGUUCUCUGAGACUGUUACUUUGAGGAAAUUAGAGUGCUCCAAGCAAGCUUUGCUUUGAAUACUUCAGCAUGGGAUAACAUCAUAAGACUUUGGCUUUUGUUGUUUGUUCUGUGGCCAAGGUAAAGAUUAAUAGGAACGGUUGGGGACAUUCGUAUUAAACAGUGAGAGGUGAAAUUCUUAGAUCUGUUUAAGACGCACUAAUGCGAAAGCAUUUGUCAAGGACGUUUUCAUUAAUCAAGAACGAAAGUUAGGGGAUCGAAGACGAUCAGACACCGUCGUAGUCUUAACUAUAAACUAUGCCGACUAGGGAUUGGGAGGCGUCCUUUUCGACUCUACCAGCAUCUUAAGAGAAAUCAAAGUUUUUGGGUUCUGGGGGGAGUAUGGUCGCAAGGCUGAAACUUGAAGGAAUUGACGGAAGGGCACCACCAGGAGUGGAGCCUG
RNAcentral lists this ribosomal RNA (697 nucleotides) under uncultured marine eukaryote. RNAcentral describes it as "SSU rRNA". It matches the Rfam family "Eukaryotic small subunit ribosomal RNA", at positions 437 to 1185 of the family's 1831-position model. The record is from RNAcentral.